Non-coding RNA from Gymnothorax javanicus (giant moray), 73 nucleotides. NCBI's taxonomy places the organism in Eukaryota, Metazoa, Chordata, Actinopteri, Anguilliformes, Muraenidae. The record is from the annotation of a GenBank genome assembly.
GCUCUGGUGGCCCAGUGGUAACUCUCCUGCCUGUGGUGUGGGUGACCCGUGUUCAAAUCCCGCCAUUAGUGCC